Molecule: ribosomal RNA, 412 nt
Filed under: Wolbachia sp.
Lineage: Bacteria; Pseudomonadati; Pseudomonadota; Alphaproteobacteria; Rickettsiales; Anaplasmataceae
Description: bacterial SSU rRNA
Rfam family: Bacterial small subunit ribosomal RNA
Source: RNAcentral
AGGGAUAGGGUCGGUUCGGCCGGAUUUCACACAGGUGUUGCAUGGCUGUCGUCAGCUCGUGUCGUGAGAUGUUGGGUUAAGUCCCGCAACGAGCGCAACCCUCAUCCUUAGUUACCAUCAGGUAAUGCUGGGGACUUUAAGGAAACUGCCAGUGAUAAACUGGAGGAAGGUGGGGAUGAUGUCAAGUCAUCAUGGCCCUUAUGGAGUGGGCUACACACGUGCUACAAUGGUGGCUACAAUGGGCUGCAAAGUCGCGAGGCUAAGCUAAUCCCUUAAAAGCCAUCUCAGUUCGGAUUGUACUCUGCAACUCGAGUACAUGAAGUUGGAAUCGCUAGUAAUCGUGGAUCAGCAUGCCACGGUGAAUAAGUUCUCGGGUCUUGUACACACUGCCCGUCACGCCAUGGGAAUUGGU